UCUUUGCAAAGUUUGUCUCCUGGAAUGCAGAUGACACCACUCCCGCAUCUCAGGUUAGUAUUCUUUCCUUUUGUUCCAGCUGUUUUCUAUUUUGAUAGAUGAAUCAUUGGGUAAAGAAAAGCAAAGACCCUCAAAGUUUAGAGUAUUUGAUAUCAUGUCUAGUAAAACUAUGGACAAUGGGGGAAUUAGCAUGCUUACACUUGCACAAACAACGCGCAUAUCUGACAAUCUGUGUGUACGUUAAUUUAUAAUAGGUUAAGAAAUAUAUAGCAAAUUCUUGUGGCUUGAUACGAUAAAUUGCCGUGCCUGAGAUCAUAUCUAAUCAUGGAUAUGUGGCAGAACAUCCAAAUACGUCUCAAUUCUUAAGUAGAGAUUGUCUUGGGGUGUGCAUAGCUAACAAAAAGCACAAUAUUUGAAAAAUAAAAUAAAUAUCGUAAUAUGCGGUAUAACCAUUGAUGAUUUCAUUUCGUAUAUAGAUGCAUACUUAUACUGUUAUACAUGAAACAAAUGUAGGUAUCAAAACUGAAUAUGUGGAGUUUACUUAUCAUGCAUAUAUUACUGUCAUUUAUUUUAAAGCAGAAGUUCCAUAUGAUGACUUUAUUCAUUUCGAAGCACGAACUUGAAUCUGUGCUCUUAAAUAAUAUUCCCUCUGUUUCACAAAAAGAGUCGCAUUUCCAGAAUUUAAGAAUACUAAGGAUAUAUUUUUUUGGCCAUGUAUUCCCUAAACAAUAAGUUGUUACUUUUGCAGUGUGGUAUGGUAAUGACAUUAUGAUGACAAACUUGAGGACAUUGUAUCAUUUUAUACUGCUAUCACUAAAAAGUGAACUCUUUCUGCGGAAGAGUUUUUUUUGUCAAAUGGAACUCUUUUUUGGCGGACGGAGGAAGUAAUAUCUUCUUAUGUGCUGCGUAAUUAUGCAUGAUUUAGUUUGUUAGAAGAUUCAUUAUUUUUCACUUGUGGAAUCAUUGCAAGAGGUGUUUUUCAGGGCGUCAUCUAUCGAAUUGAGGCUGAGGAGGUGCUUUUGAAGUUUCCUAACGAGUUUCACAUGCAUCAUCGACCUGAGAAUGUUUACAAUAUUCAAUUUACUUAUAAUAGAGUGUGCAUGAGAAGGUUAUAUCAGGCUGUCAAAGCAGCUGAGCGUUUAGAGUCAAAUAUUCUCUUUCCAUCGGAAUCAACAAAAAGGUCAAUAAAAACGACUCCAAUCGUGCCUCUUAUGUCUCUAAACGAGGAGCAACUUCGUUGUGUUGAAAUGAUCCUCGGUUGUUAUGGUUCUCCUCCCUAUGUUAUACACGGUCCUCCAGGAACUGGUAAGACAACGACUCUUGUGGAAGCAAUCUUGCAGUUAUAUACAACAAGAGAAAAUGUUCGCAUUCUUGUAUGUGCAGCAUCAAACAGUUCAGCAGAUCACAUACUAGAGAAACUUGUUGAGAAUAAGGUGGCUAAAGUAAAAGACAAUGAGACAUUUCGGUUAAAUGCCAGUAGUCGUGUUUAUGAAGAUGUUCAACCUAACAUCAUCCGCUUUUGCUAUUUUGAUACGUCCAUUUUCAAGUGUCCGCCACUUAAGGCUUUAUUGCGUUAUAAAAUCAUCAUUUCUACGUAUAUGAGUUCAUCUAUUCUUAGCACAGAAGGUAUUGGUUGUGACCAUUUCUCCUAUAUUUUCCUAGAUGAGGCGGGACAGGCUUCAGAACCAGAAACUAUGGUUCCUCUGUCCAAUCUUUCUAGAAAGGAAGCCGUGGUGGUUCUUGCAGGCGAUCCUGAACAAUUAGGUCCAGUUGUGUACUCCCGCGAAGCAGUAAAGUUUGGGCUAAGAAAAUCUUACUUGGAAAGGCUUUUUGAUUGUGAGCAUUACAAAAAGGGGGACAAAAGUUUCAUCACGAGAUUAUUGAGAAAUUACCGAUGUCAUCCAACAAUUCUUGACCUACCCUCAAAGCUUUUCUAUGAAGGGACAUUGAUUGCAUCUAAAGAUGUUUUGUCUUCUCCCAAGUCUUGGUUAAAUAUUCUUCCCCACAAAGGAUUUAAUGUUCUAUUUUUUGGCAUUCAAGGAAGUGACGAAAGAGACGGAAAUAAUCCGUCAUGGUUUAACCGAAUUGAGGCAAGCAAGGUGAUUGAUCUUAUUAAGAAACUCACAGCGAGUGCGGAUCUAAAUGAAUCAGAUAUUGGGGUAAUAGCUCCUUAUCGCCAGCAAGUGGUCAAGAUAACCAAAGCACUCGAAGCACUAGAUAUUUCUGACGUUAAGGUUGGGAGUGUUGAACAGUUUCAGGGACAAGAGAGAGAAGUCAUAAUUGUGUCUACUGUCAGGUCGACUGCCAAGCACAAUAAGUUUGACAGAACUUACUCUCUUGGAUUUCUUAGUAAUCCAAGAAGAUUUAAUGUAGCGAUUACUCGGGCUAAAUCCUUGCUCAUUAUUGUCGGGAAUCCACACAUUGUUAGUAAGGUGCGUAUUUCUCAUUUCAAUUCUAUUAUAAUUUCCUUAUCAAGUAGAUGGUUUAGUUUUAGCUCUUUGGUAUGCAUUUAUAAGCUGAAUUCCUGCAUAAGGCUCCGGUUAUGCAACCACUUACGGUUAAAUGAGUUUUAAUUCUCUGCAGAUUUUAGUUUUCAUUUUUGUUGUUGUUGCUUUGUCCAGUUGUAUAUAUGUAUAUGUUCUUAGAGUAAAUACAUGACCCAGCACAAGCCCACCUAACACUUGAAACUACUAAUGGAUCAGAUGGCAGGUAGCCCCAGUGGCGAAGCUAGGAUUUUUAUUUAGCGGGGUCAAAAUAUUAUGAUGCUAUACAUAAUUUGGCGAGGGUUAGGGGACAGCGCCCCCGAGCCAAUUUUUUUAGAUAAUUUUGCGCUUUUUGGCCGAUUGCACAUGUAAAACGUGUAUUUGGUUACAAUAUUAUUAAUAUAACAAGUACUAACAUUAUAUAUAUAUAUAUAUAUAUAUAUAUAUACACACACACACACACACACUUAUUGACCCCUAGUACGCCUUUCUAAUCACAAAUUCGUUAAUAAAUAUUUAAAUUUCUUAUGUUAUAAAAAUAAUAUAAAUUAGAUUAUUAUUUAUUUUAAAAAUAUUAGAGGAAGAUGCAUACAUCAAGGAGUAGAAAUAAUAUGAAAUUGAGAAAGUUAUAAAAAAUUCAAUUUGACCCUGUAUAUUAAAAAAUUUAUAAAGUUUCAGUGUGGUCAAUUUAUUCAUUACAUUUAAAUUUCUUCUAAAUUUAUCAUAUAUUAUAAAAUAAUUUUUUUCCCAGUGGAAUUGACCCCACACCCUCCAACAUGGCUUCGCCCUGCAGGUAGCACAAUAUAGCACCUCUACUAGAGCAACAAUGUGAUUUUUCUAGGGCUUGAAGUACUUUUUUCAUCCUAGGAUAUGCACUGCAUAAUUGAGUUGGAUUCUUUCCGACAUAAGUGCUAGAAUUACAAGUCUUUAAUUGCGAAGAAAAGGUUGGCACAAAAUGAUAUUAAAACUAAUCAGUUAUGAUUAUCUGUAUUUGGGACAAAUGACAAAAAAUUCGCAGCAUUGGCUUGUUGCAGCUAAUCGACUUUGUUGAAACAAGAUUUUUAUUUGAUAAAACCAUAUGAAAAUAUUAUACUUUUGCGCUCAUAAACAAGGUGAGGGAAGACAGGAGCGCAUACACUGUAUGAAUAUAUGGAUAUUUGUUUUGGUCAAUGCCGGUAACAUCUGCAUCUGCAGUUCUGUGUAGGCAAAAUGAUAUUUCUUUCCAAACUUUAGUUUACUGUAAAAGCAGUAUCUAUCUUCAGUAUUCAAGUUUUUAAUGCUCAGGUAUAAUGUAAUUGAGGAUUAUAUAUUGCACAUAAAUAUACUUGAUAGACUCUACGACAGUAUUCUAAAAAUUUCCGUCUAGGUCCGCCUAGGCGUUAGGCCCCUUGUGCCUAGCGCCUCACCUAGGUCUAAGACGGCAAAAAAAUCCCUCCAAGAAAUUAGGCGGGGCCCAGGCAGAGAGUUUUUUUUUUUAAUUUUAAUAAUUACCUAAACCAGAUCUUGAUAUAUUUAUUUUUUUAAUGAUUUACCAUAUUCAUAAUACAUGUUAGUAUAUCAAAUCACAACAAGAAGUGAACAAUAUCAAGUCAAAAUAGAUAAUUUUAUUAUAGUUGUAAUUUUUUGAACUUGUUCCAACUUCAAAUUAUAUAAAUGAUGAUACAUUUGUAAUAUUUAGUUUAAUUCAAUAUAAUUCUUAAAUUUAUGUUUAGUUUCUUAAGUUUUAAUAUUGAAUUAAAUUUUUAAAAUUUAAAAUUUUAUUAUUUAAUAACAAUCUUGUUUAUGAAUAAAACUAAUAUGUUAAAAAUAUGUUUGAACUUUGAACAAUUGCAUGUUUAUGUUUGAACUUUGACAUUAGCAAUAUGGAUAUGUGUUUGAACUUUAAGCAAAUAUCUUUAUUAUCUUUAUUAUAGAUUGUUUUUCUUUAUAUUAUUGUUUUGUUUGGAUAAAUGUAAGAUAAAAUAUUAAAAUUGACUUAAAAUAAAAAAUUCCACCUAGACCCCCUAGGCGCUAGGCCUCCCUUGGCCGCUCACCUAGCGCCUUUUAGAACAUUGCUCUACGAAACGCUUGCGUGAGGUAGUCGUCGCCCGAAUCGUUUUUAACAAAGUCGUAGAGUGAAUUAUGCCUAUAUGUAGACGGUAAUCUCAGUAUAAUUGCUCGCGUUAGAAAUUCUACGUUGAAUGAACACCAAUGACACCUCGCUUAUAUUGAAGCGAUAAUAUUGGUACAAUCGACGAUUGAUGCGGUAGAAGACGCCACACACAACUAUGAUCUGUUGUAUGAUAAGUCAAUAUUGAACCUCACAGAAAAACCAUGAACAGUUCGAGAGUUCUCAAAGAACCAAAGGAGAAUAAUCUCACUAGGAUUUUAUUAAUCAAAAGUUCUCUAGUUGUUUUCUUAAUACAUCAGUUAUGUAUUCUAUUUAUACUAAUAAAAAAACCCUAAUUAUAUAAUGAAUAAGAAUUUGAAUGGAAAAAAAAAUCCUAGCCAACAAAUCACAAGGAAAUCAAAUCCUAUCAAAAGUAACCUAAUUACAAUAGGAAUCUGAAAAUAUACUGAAAAUAAUUAAUUUAAGAAGUAAAUCCGCGUCCAAAUCUAAAAAUGCGUCAACAAAAUCAACAAAACCCGACCAACUCACUGGGGCUAGUUCAAGCUCGCAGGGGCAAAGUCCAACAGAGAGCAGCUGACUGGGGUGAGUUCCCAAUUUUUAGCAAACUAGAAACCCUCAGAACUUGAGUUGAGUCGUAGUUGGUCAAUGCGAGCCCGGUUAGGAUCGUAUCAAUACUGGUGCAACAUUUUUAAUUUCUACAAGUUGCAGUAAUGUUGCCUUUGGAUUGCAAAAGUCAAAGCAGGAAUGAAAUGGAAAAAAUUGUGUUCGAUUUUUUCUAGUGGAAUGGAAUUAUUGCUAAAUUGAUAAUUUUCUUUCUUUAGGUGGUUGUGGAAUGACUCAUUCCAUUCCAUUCUUAAUUCCAUUACCUAUUCUGCUCCAUUCCUAGUAUUAUUCCGUUCCUUCAAUCCAAAUGUAGAAUUAAUAAAAAAUGCGGAGACCAACCAACCAACCCUUGAAUUAUAAUUAGGUUUAUCGGCGUACAAGGUACUAUCAUUCUGAAUCGUGGUACGAGAGCUAAAUGUUUUGUGCAGUCUAGCAUAGGUAGUGUUCCUCGUACCGAAAUUCGUUCCGUGUACCCAGUCGAUUAGCUCUCCUGGUAACCAUGUUUAUAGUGUUCCUAAUGAUAACUUCUACCUCUAUUAGGGAAAAAGAAAUAAAUAAUUUCCAUCAAAAAUAGUACUCUCUUUUUUGUUUAUUUAUGCAGCUAUAUUCACAGUCGUGUAGUUCCCUUUUCAUAUCAAUGCACUUCAAAAAGUGAGAAGCAUAGAGAAAGAUAAAUACAAAAUAUAUUUCUAUAGAUAUGGUGUUCUGUGAGCUUAGGAUUUCUACAAGGCCAUACAUAAUCUUGUAUCAAAAGAACUUCUGAGUCGCAACAUAGAGACUAGAGUUAUGUAAACAUCUUAACACCUUUUUUUUGCUAAAUUUAAGAAAAUUUAAAUAAAUGUAAAGAUAAUACAAGGUCGAGGGGCAUACCCCAUAGCAUAAUAUAGCAUGGGCAACAUAGGACAAGCCCUAAGAUGCCAUGACUAUAGAGGAUCAAAAGAACAUAGCUUACACUUUCAAGUGCUGCCGUGCCAUUUUGCGACCCCGGGGUCAUUAUUAAUCUAACUUUGUUUGUAACUGCAGGAUCCUUAUUGGCACAAGCUUUUAUGGUAUUGCUCUGAUAACAAUUCCUACCAAGGCUGUCCUCUCCCAGAAAAAUAAUAUAUGCAGAAAAAGAUCAUACGAAACAACUUGAAUUAUGAAGUUAAACUGUCUCUUAAACAAGUACUAGUCAGUCAUCAUGAAGCACAGACACUUCUCGGAGGUGGAGGUCGUAUCCGUAUCAGAUACUUGUCGACUGAGAGUAUUUUCAUUGAAUAACUUUUAAGUUAACCACUUGCUUAUGAGAAUCUCUUGCUUUAUGGUUAUGUAAAAUAUAAUAACUAAUUGUUAUAUCUAUAUAUGUACGUCUAUACAAAUAUAUAAAAUUUCAUCUUUAUGGUGAACUAAUUAUGAAGGCUGAAAGUCCACUUUGUGAUAGGCAGCUUGUGUAUGGAUUUUCCUGCUAGUUAUGUUGGCAAUCUUGAAGAAUUAGCUGUAGUCUAAUAGUUCCAUUGCUUAUUCUCCAACUAGUUAUGUAUGAUAGUACCAUUUGUUAAAAAUAUUAUUCCCCUAUGGAUAAUAAUAUAAAAUGUUACUCCUUCCUUCGUUCCUCAUUAUUGACUUUUGAAAGUUAAUUUAAUACAUUUUAAACUUGAAAUUGAGAUGAUUCAAGAAAUUAUGAAAGAAUAAAUUUUAUAAUAAAUAAAACUUUUUAGGUAGUUUGCAAUAUUUAUUCUAUUGACAAAAAAUAAAGGUAUUGAUGUCAAUUUUAUGUUUGAAAAUGUCUAAAAUUGACUUUAAAAACUCAAUAAUAAUUUAAUAUUUUAAAAUGGAGAAAGUACAAUUUUAUCAAGUUUAGCAUCAUAAUUUAGCUACUAGGUCACAACUUAAACUAAACACUUGUUAUAUUUAAGGAUUUAUAAGAAACAAAUAUAUAUAUAUAUAUAUAUAUAUAUAUAUAUAUAUAUAUAUAUAUAUAUAUAUAUGCUUUAUUUAUCAACUACAUAAUUAAAAACACAAACUUGGUUUGGUUUCAUCAAUUUUUGGUUCAACUUUCUUAUUUCUGUUAACAUAAGUACUAUCCAAAUUUGUAUAAAUUAAAUACUAUCCAAAUUUAAAAAUAUUCCUAUCAGAAUAGAAAAAAGACAGAUUUUUUUUUCUUUCCUAUUCAAAUUAGUAUAAGUACUAUACAAAUUUAUAAUAAUUAAAUAUAUAUUAUCCAAAUUUGUAAAGUAUUAAAAAAAACUCACUCAAUCUCUAAUGGAAAAAGUAACUUCUAAAAGAAUUUUAUUUUUGGUUUUUUUACCAAAUUUAAUUACAAAAAUUUUAUCACAAUUUUAUGUAAUUAAUCAAGACAAUAGAACACAUUAUGUUGUUCUCAAAAAGGUACAAAGAGAUCUAGAAGGGGGUUGAAUAGAUUCUUUAAAAUUUUCUUUUAAUAUGUUACUAGAUCAGUUAAGCAAGUUAAUUGAUUGAUAAAGUACAACAAAAUUGUAUUUUUAAAAGAAAAUUAUUAAAUCUAUAACAUUUUUUGUUAUUUUCACAACAAAAGUGUCGAUGUAGAUGUAUAGUGACGGUGAAAACCUUCACUAUAGAAUCUAUAAUAACACUUUUGUUGUGAAAAUAACAUUUUAUGUUGUUGAUUUAACAAUUUUCUUUUUAAAACCAUUCAAAGAUUAUAAGAAAAUGCACAGUUCUAAAUUUAGUGAGCAAUUGUAGAGACAAGUCCCAUACACAAAUGUAAAGUGACAGAAAAUGAAAUGCAGAAAGUUAAAGAACACGAGAUUUUUAAGAGAUUCACAACAUAAAAAUAUUUUAGUUCUUUUGUUGUGGAUGCUUUAUUUACUCGCAAGUGCACGAAUCGAAUACUUAAUAUAGCUUACAACUGCGAGGUCGAACCCUAAGGAGUUGAUGGAUGGAACGUGUUUAUCUAACUCACUAAUUAUAAUUAAUUCCUAAUCUAGCUUAGAAAUUUUGAGGGAAUUUUUAUCAACUAAAAAUACGCAAAUAAAAUAAUCAAUGAUAAAAUACUAGGGUGACAAAAUCAUAUACUUGAUAUCAUUUUCCUAAUAUUCAUGCCCAAUACUCUACUUUUAUCUCUCACUAAUUUGGUCUCGACUUUAUUAGAUGCGGAAAAUAAAAUCAAUUAAGUCCAAUUAAUUUAUAAAAUCAAAUUGUGAAUUCUUUCAUAGCCAAACAUAUGUAUAAAAUCAAAACACUCGUUAUUUCCAUCAAAACACAGUUUAUAUCCGCUUUGAACAAAUUACAAACCGAAUCCAAUAAAUAAUAAUGAGAAUCCAACCUUAUUUUUUUUAUGAGUAAAAAAAUAGACAUCCAAUAGAAAGAAUUAUUUUUAACGCGAACAGGGACGGAGCUACAUGGAUGUUAGAGGGGGCCACGGCCCCCCCAAGGUUUAAAUUUUUGUAAGAUUCACUCCAAUGUUUGAAAAUUUUAUAAAACUCACUUGUACAUUUGGUUUGUUUUGAAAAUUUUGUAAGACUACGGCCCCCAAGUUUUGACGAAGUUUUGAUAUGUUUUAAAAAAAAUUUCCACCCCCCAAAGAACAAAUCCUGGCUCCGUCCCUGAAUGCAAAAACACUAAAUUGAUAGAAUAAAUUGGCAUGAAUAUGUGCAAUAGAAUCAAUCAAUUAUACUCAUCCUCGACCCUAGAAAAUAAUUAACAUUGCAUGAUUGAAAUUAGAACACAAUGCAUAAUAAAAUAAUCCAUAAUUAACCUAACAGAUUACUCAUUUGAAUAUACUAAUUAAUUGAAGAAGGAAGUAAAAUAAAUUUUGAAAUUCAAAAUUAUUCUGCUCUAAAUAAGAAACAAUGCUAUCUUAUCAUUUAAAAGUAAAGAAUAAACUGAAUAAACAAACUGGCCAACAAAAGAGGCUCAAAUGGUUCAAUAUAUGUAAAACAACUCCUACAGUAAGACUUUAAUUGCCACAAAAUGCUCAAGAUACUACAUCUAUAUGAGAAUAAAUGAAAUAACUUCAAUAAUACCUCCAUUUUGGCUGCCAAAGAUAAACAGGCUACAACUGCAUCAUCCAAGAUUUGCUAUUUUGUAAGUCAUAGGCAGAAAAGAAUAUGUCCAAAUAGUUCGGAAACAAAUACGCACUAAAAAAAAUCGACAACUAAAAAAAAAGGCCCCUCUUAUGAGCUUCAGAUUCAGAAUAAAACAGGAAAAAAUCUGAAGGAUCUGUUUUUUGGUUUGCUGCCGAACUCCCCAUUUCUCUCAGAUCUGCUCCCCUUAUUUGAUCUCUUCCUUGGUUCUCGCGCUACUGAGUUUAUCCCCCUCUAUCUAUAUUUGAUCCAUCUCUUUUAAAAACAAACCCUCAUUCCUUGUCUACCGUAAACUGCAAAUUGUGAGGAACAAAUAAAACUGGGCUGCUACCCAUAGGCCCAAUCCUGUCUUUAC
RNAcentral lists this long non-coding RNA (9594 nucleotides) under Panax ginseng (ginseng). RNAcentral describes it as "long non-coding RNA (PGIN_LNC008109)". Lineage: Eukaryota; Viridiplantae; Streptophyta; Magnoliopsida; Apiales; Araliaceae. The record is from RNAcentral.